GGGAAAAGGGGGGCGGCCUACACAUGCAAGUCGAGCGGAAACGAGUUAACUGAACCUUCGGGGAACGUUAACGGCGUCGAGCGGCGGACGGGUGAGUAAUGCCUGGGAAAUUGCCCUGAUGUGGGGGAUAACCAUUGGAAACGAUGGCUAAUACCGCAUAAUAGCCCGGUUCUUCGGAAUGGGCCUCAAAGAGGGGGACCUUUUAGGCCUCUCGCGUCAGGAUAUGCCCAGGUGGGAUUAGCUAGUUGGUGAGGUAAUGGCUCACCAAGGCGACGAUCCCUAGCUGGUCUGAGAGGAUGAUCAGCCACACUGGAACUGAGACACGGUCCAGACUCCUACGGGAGGCAGCAGUGGGGAAUAUUGCACAAUGGGCGCAAGCCUGAUGCAGCCAUGCCGCGUGUAUGAAGAAGGCCUUCGGGUUGUAAAGUACUUUCAGCAGUGAGGAAGGUGGGUAUGUUAAUAGCAUACACAUUUGACGUUAGCUGCAGAAGAAGCACCGGCUAACUCCGUGCCAGCAGCCGCGGUAAUACGGAGGGUGCGAGCGUUAAUCGGAAUUACUGGGCGUAAAGCGCAUGCAGGUGGUUUGUUAAGUCAGAUGUGAAAGCCCGGGGCUCAACCUCGGAAUUGCAUUUGAAACUGGCAAACUAGAGUACUGUAGAGGGGGGUAGAAUUUCAGGUGUAGCGGUGAAAUGCGUAGAGAUCUGAAGGAAUACCGGUGGCGAAGGCGGCCCCCUGGACAGAUACUGACACUCAGAUGCGAAAGCGUGGGGAGCAAACAGGAUUAGAUACCCUGGUAGUCCACGCCGUAAACGAUGUCUACUUGGAGGUUGUGGCCUUGAGCCGUGGCUUUCGGAGCUAACGCGUUAAGUAGACCGCCUGGGGAGUACGGUCGCAAGAUUAAAACUCAAAUGAAUUGACGGGGGCCCGCACAAGCGGUGGAACAUGUGGUUUAAUUCGAUGCAACGCGGAGAACCUUUACCUACUCUUGACAUCUACAGAAGCCAGCGGAAGACGCAGGUGUGCCUUCCGGGAACUGUAAAAAA
Molecule: ribosomal RNA, 1043 nt
Filed under: uncultured bacterium
Lineage: Bacteria
Description: bacterial SSU rRNA
Rfam family: Bacterial small subunit ribosomal RNA
Source: RNAcentral